AUAGAUGUCGUUCAAUGGUAGGACUCCGGUCUCCAAAACCGGUAAUCAGGGUUCAAAUCCUUGCAUCUAUGCCA
RNAcentral lists this transfer RNA (74 nucleotides) under bacterium. RNAcentral describes it as "tRNA-Trp". It matches the Rfam family "tRNA". From Rfam's summary of the family: Transfer RNA (tRNA) molecules are approximately 80 nucleotides in length. Their secondary structure includes four short double-helical elements and three loops (D, anti-codon, and T loops). The record is from RNAcentral.